This 700-nucleotide ribosomal RNA is filed under the name uncultured bacterium. RNAcentral describes it as "bacterial SSU rRNA". It matches the Rfam family "Bacterial small subunit ribosomal RNA", at positions 8 to 703 of the family's 1533-position model. The record is from RNAcentral.
AGAGUUUGAUCAUGGCUCAGAUUGAACGCUGGCGGCAUGCCUUACACAUGCAAGUCGAACGGCAGCACGGGAGCAAUCCUGGUGGCGAGUGGCGAACGGGUGAGUAAUACAUCGGAACGUGCCCAAUCGUGGGGGAUAACGCAGCGAAAGCUGUGCUAAUACCGCAUGAGAUCUACGGAUGAAAGCAGGGGACCGCAAGGCCUUGCGCGAAUGGAGCGGCCGAUGGCAGAUUAGGUAGUUGGUGAGGUAAAGGCUCACCAAGCCUGCGAUCUGUAGCUGGUCUGAGAGGACGACCAGCCACACUGGGACUGAGACACGGCCCAGACUCCUACGGGAGGCAGCAGUGGGGAAUUUUGGACAAUGGGCGCAAGCCUGAUCCAGCCAUGCCGCGUGCAGGAUGAAGGCCUUCGGGUUGUAAACUGCUUUUGUACGGAACGAAAAGGCUUUCUCUAAUAAAGGGGGCUCAUGACGGUACCGUAAGAAUAAGCACCGGCUAACUACGUGCCAGCAGCCGCGGUAAUACGUAGGGUGCAAGCGUUAAUCGGAAUUACUGGGCGUAAAGCGUGCGCAGGCGGUGAUGUAAGACAGUUGUGAAAUCCCCGGGCUCAACCUGGGAACUGCAUCUGUGGCUGCAUCGCUGGAGUGCGGCAGAGGGGGAUGGAAUUCCGCGUGUAGCAGUGAAAUGCGUAGAUAUGCGGAG